GACGAACGCUGGCGGCGUGCCUAAUACAUGCCAGUAGAACGCACAGUUUAUACCGUAGCUUGCUACACCAUACACUGUGAGUUGCGAACGGGUGAGUAACGCGUAGGUAACCUGCCUGGUAGCGGGGGAUAACUAUUGGAAACGAUAGCUAAUACCGCAUAAUAUUAAUUAUUGCAUGAUAAUUGAUUGAAAGAUGCAAUUGCAUCACUACCAGAUGGACCUGCGUUGUAUUAGCUAGUAGGUGAGGUAACGGCUCACCUAGGCGACGAUACAUAGCCGACCUGAGAGGGUGAUCGGCCACACUGGGACUGAGACACGGCCCAGACUCCUACGGGAGGCAGCAGUAGGGAAUCUUCGGCAAUGGACGAAAGUCUGACCGAGCAACGCCGCGUGAGUGAAGAAGGGUUUCGGAUCGUAAAGCUCUGUUGUAAGAGAAGAACGGGUGUGAGAGUGGAAAGUUCACACUGUGACGGUAUCUUACCAGAAAGGGACGGCUAACUACGUG
This 505-nucleotide ribosomal RNA is filed under the name uncultured bacterium. RNAcentral describes it as "partial 16S ribosomal RNA". It matches the Rfam family "Bacterial small subunit ribosomal RNA", at positions 28 to 507 of the family's 1533-position model. The record is from RNAcentral.